This 253-nucleotide ribosomal RNA is filed under the name uncultured bacterium. RNAcentral describes it as "partial 16S ribosomal RNA". It matches the Rfam family "Bacterial small subunit ribosomal RNA", at positions 524 to 776 of the family's 1533-position model. The record is from RNAcentral.
GACGGACCAUCCAAACGUUAUUCGGAAUUACUGGGCUUAAAGGGUGCGUAGGAGGGCAGGUAAGUCAGUGGUGAAAUCUCCGAGCUUAACUCGGAAACUGCCGUUGAUACUAUCUGUCUUGAAUACCGUGGAGGUGAGCGGAAUAUGUCAUGUAGCGGUGAAAUGCUUAGAUAUGACAUAGAACACCAAUUGCGAAGGCAGCUCGCUACACGAAUAUUGACUCUGAGGCACGAAAGCGUGGGGAUCAAACAGG